AAUAGAUACCCUGGUAGUCCACGCCGUAAACGAUGAGUGCUAAGUGUUGGAGGGUUUCCGCCUUUCAGUGCUGCAGCUAACGCAUUAAGCACUCCGCCUGGGGAGUACGGUCGCAAGACUGAAACUCAAAGGAAUUGACGGGGGCCCGCACAAGCGGUGGAGCAUGUGGUUUAAUUCGAAGCAACGCAAAGAACCUUACCAGGUCUUGACAUCUCCUGACCGCCCUGGAGACAGGGUCUUCCCUUCGGGGACAGGAUGACAGGUGGUGCAUGGUUGUCGUCAGCUCGUGUCGUGAGAUGUUGGGUUAAGUCCCGCAACGAGCGCAACCCUUGGUUCUAGUUGCCAGCAUUCAGUUGGGCACUCUAGAGCGACUGCCGGCGACAAGUCGGAGGAAGGUGGGGAUGACGUCAAAUCAUCAUGCCCCUUAUGACCUGGGCUACACACGUGCUACAAUGGAUGGUACAAAGGGCAGCGAAGCGGCGACGCAUAAGCGAAUCCCAGAAAACCAUUCUCAGUUCGG
This 520-nucleotide ribosomal RNA is filed under the name uncultured bacterium. RNAcentral describes it as "bacterial SSU rRNA". It matches the Rfam family "Bacterial small subunit ribosomal RNA", at positions 777 to 1296 of the family's 1533-position model. The record is from RNAcentral.